GCUAGCUACAGGCUUAACACAUGCAAGUCGAGGGGCAGCAUGGUCUUAGCUUGCUAAGGCCGAUGGCGACCGGCGCACGGGUGAGUAACACGUAUCCAACCUGCCGUCUACUCUUGGACAGCCUUCUGAAAGGAAGAUUAAUACAAGAUGGCAUCAUGAGUCCGCAUGUUCACAUGAUUAAAGGUAUUCCGGUAGACGAUGGGGAUGCGUUCCAUUAGAUAGUAGGCGGGGUAACGGCCCACCUAGUCUUCGAUGGAUAGGGGUUCUGAGAGGAAGGUCCCCCACAUUGGAACUGAGACACGGUCCAAACUCCUACGGGAGGCAGCAGUGAGGAAUAUUGGUCAAUGGGCGAGAGCCUGAACCAGCCAAGUAGCGUGAAGGAUGACUGCCCUAUGGGUUGUAAACUUCUUUUAUAAAGGAAUAAAGUCGGGUAUGGAUACCCGUUUGCAUGUACUUUAUGAAUAAGGAUCGGCUAACUCCGUGCCAGCAGCCGCGGUAAUACGGAGGAUCCGAGCGUUAUCCGGAUUUAUUGGGUUUAAAGGGAGCGUAGAUGGAUGUUUAAGUCAGUUGUGAAAGUUUGCGGCUCAACCGUAAAAUUGCAGUUGAUACUGGAUAUCUUGAGUGCAGUUGAGGCAGGCGGAAUUCGUGGUGUAGCGGUGAAAUGCUUAGAUAUCACGAAGAACUCCGAUUGUGAAGGCAGCCUGCUAAGCUGCAACUGACAUUGAGGCUCGAAAGUGUGGGUAUCAAACAGGAUUAGAUACCCUGGUAGUCCACACGGUAAACGAUGAAUACUCGCUGUUUGCGAUAUACUGCAAGCGGCCAAGCGAAAGCGUUAAGUAUUCCACCUGGGGAGUACGCCGGCAACGGUGAAACUCAAAGGAAUUGACGGGGGCCCGCACAAGCGGAGGAACAUGUGGUUUAAUUCGAUGAUACGCGAGGAACCUUACCCGGGCUUAAAUUGCAGAUGAAUUACGGUGAAAGCCGUAAGCCGCAAGGCAUCUGUGAAGGUGCUGCAUGGUUGUCGUCAGCUCGUGCCGUGAGGUGUCGGCUUAAGUGCCAUAACGAGCGCAACCCUUGUUGUCAGUUACUAACAGGUUCCGCUGAGGACUCUGACAAGACUGCCAUCGUAAGAUGUGAGGAAGGUGGGGAUGACGUCAAAUCAGCACGGCCCUUACGUCCGGGGCUACACACGUGUUACAAUGGGGGGUACAGAGGGCCGCUACCACGCGAGUGGAUGCCAAUCCCCAAAACCUCUCUCAGUUCGGACUGGAGUCUGCAACCCGACUCCACGAAGCUGGAUUCGCUAGUAAUCGCGCAUCAGCCACGGCGCGGUGAAUACGUUCCCGGGCCUUGUACACACCGCCCGUCAAGCCAUGGGAGCCGGGGGUACCUGAAGUGCGUAACCGCGAGGAGCGCCCUAGGGUAAAACUGGUGACUGGGGU
RNAcentral lists this ribosomal RNA (1442 nucleotides) under uncultured organism. RNAcentral describes it as "16S ribosomal RNA". It matches the Rfam family "Bacterial small subunit ribosomal RNA". The record is from RNAcentral.